Molecule: ribosomal RNA, 506 nt
Filed under: Bacillus thuringiensis
Lineage: Bacteria; Bacillati; Bacillota; Bacilli; Caryophanales; Bacillaceae
Description: bacterial SSU rRNA
Rfam family: Bacterial small subunit ribosomal RNA
Source: RNAcentral
UGGAGAGUUUGAUCCUGGCUCAGGAUGAACGCUGGCGGCGUGCCUAAUACAUGCAAGUCGAGCGAAUGGAUUAAGAGCUUGCUCUUAUGAAGUUAGCGGCGGACGGGUGAGUAACACGUGGGUAACCUGCCCAUAAGACUGGGAUAACUCCGGGAAACCGGGGCUAAUACCGGAUAACAUUUUGAACUGCAUGGUUCGAAAUUGAAAGGCGGCUUCGGCUGUCACUUAUGGAUGGACCCGCGUCGCAUUAGCUAGUUGGUGAGGUAACGGCUCACCAAGGCAACGAUGCGUAGCCGACCUGAGAGGGUGAUCGGCCACACUGGGACUGAGACACGGCCCAGACUCCUACGGGAGGCAGCAGUAGGGAAUCUUCCGCAAUGGACGAAAGUCUGACGGAGCAACGCCGCGUGAGUGAUGAAGGCUUUCGGGUCGUAAAACUCUGUUGUUAGGGAAGAACAAGUGCUAGUUGAAUAAGCUGGCACCUUGACGGUACCUAACCAGAAAGC